CAUCGCCGCUGGAAUACGGAGGGUGCAAGCGUUAAUCGGAAUUACUGGGCGUAAAGCGCACGCAGGCGGUCUGUCAAGUCAGAUGUGAAAUCCCCGGGCUUAACCUGGGAACUGCAUUUGAAACUGGCAGGCUAGAGUCUUGUAGAGGGGGGUAGAAUUCCAGGUGUAGCGGUGAAAUGCGUAGAGAUCUGGAGGAAUACCGGUGGCGAAGGCGGCCCCCUGGACAAAGACUGACGCUCAGGUGCGAAAGCGUGGGGAGCAAACAGGAUUAGAUACCCGGGUAGUCCCUGUCUCUUAUACC
Molecule: ribosomal RNA, 301 nt
Filed under: uncultured bacterium
Lineage: Bacteria
Description: partial 16S ribosomal RNA
Rfam family: Bacterial small subunit ribosomal RNA
Source: RNAcentral